This 86-nucleotide transfer RNA is filed under the name Chlamydiota bacterium. Its description in RNAcentral is "Chlamydiae bacterium tRNA-Tyr". It matches the Rfam family "tRNA". Rfam says of the family: Transfer RNA (tRNA) molecules are approximately 80 nucleotides in length. Their secondary structure includes four short double-helical elements and three loops (D, anti-codon, and T loops). Lineage: Bacteria; Pseudomonadati; Chlamydiota. The record is from RNAcentral.
UGGGGGUGUCGCAUAGUGGCAAUUGCAAUGGACUGUAAAUCCAUCUCCUUUACAGGAUCCGUCAGUUCGAGUCUGACCGCCCCCAA